RNA transcript from Cydia fagiglandana, 4596 nucleotides. It is a transcript of the gene named sodium/hydrogen exchanger 6, with no coding region annotated. The record is from RefSeq and is a predicted model, not a curated record. NCBI's taxonomy places the organism in Eukaryota, Metazoa, Arthropoda, Insecta, Lepidoptera, Tortricidae. The transcript has 17 exons.
GUCAACUGAAAAACGUCAAUUGGACGGACGAGUGAAUUUUGCAUAACAGACAAAAACAAUAGUUUUUCUGAUAUCCGUAAUUAUAAUUUAGUGCUUAGCAGUAAUUUAAACACCUAUCGUGAAAUAGUAAUCAGUUACUAUAUUAGUGCGCAUAAAUCCUAUUUAUAACUAAGUGACAUCGCUAGAUUAGUCGCGUAAAGUAUUUAAGUUUCCAUCGAUUUCUGUAAUGUGAUAUUUUUAUAAUAGUGCGUACUAUCGCAAUAUGAAUCUACUCGGUUAUUUGAGUUUCUUAUGUUACCUGGUGGUAAUAUGCCGCGCUUCAGGCACCGAUAUCGCCUUGGAUGCGAAGGCUACUCUGCUUCACCGUAUAGACAGCUUGAACUUGCUGAUUUAUACCUGUCUUUUGACUCUGACGGUGCUCACUAUAUGGGUGUUCAAGCAUCGCCGAGUAAGCUGGCUGCACGAGACGGGGCUGGCCGUAAUAUACGGUCUAAUUGUAGGCGCUAUAAUACGCUAUGCGGGCAGUACCAAUGCCGUUACAUACCUUGAUGCCCACCCCGAGCCUGAUGCCAAGUACAAUCUGUCUGUGCCACCAGACAUGAUACGAUUUCACUUUCCAGACACUAUUCAUAUACCAUCUGGAGAUGUUCCAAUACUAAAUAAGACUUAUGCAUAUAGCUUUAGAGGUGAAAUCGUAAAUGUUGAACAAAAUGAAAUAGACUUGAAGGCAACAUUUGACCCAGAAAUCUUUUUCAACAUUAUUUUGCCACCAAUAAUAUUCCAUGCAGGAUAUUGCUUAAAAAGGAAAUAUUUCUUCAGAAACUUGGGAGCUAUACUGACAUUUGCUAUGGUGGGCACAGCCCUGUCAGCGCUAGUCAUUGGUGCGCUUAUGUACGGCUGUGUUCAGCUGAUGCCAGCGUCCCUAGCUUCUAGCUUUACUUUUCUUGACACUCUAUACUUUGGCGCAUUGAUCUCUCCUACGGACCCACUUACGGUGCUAGCUAUAUUUUCACAAUUGAAGGUGGAUGUGAACCUUUAUGCUAUGAUAUUCGGUGAGAGUGUUCUCAAUGAUGCAGUGGCUUUAGUACUUAGCGGAGCCAUUCAAAAUUACGAGAAGAGGUACUCAAACGAUGGUGGGUUUGAAAUCACAGCGUUUUUGGGUGCGAUCGGCGACUUCAUUGGGAUCUUCAGCUUGUCUCUACUUGUCGGUGCUUUCAUUGGAUGCUUGACAGCAUUGAUAUCUAAGUUCACCCACGUGCGAGAGUGGCCACUACUGGAGUCUGCGCUUUUUGUUCUCAUGUCCUACGCCGCCUUCCUCAUCGCAGAAGUAUGCGAACUCACAGGUGUGGUGGCGGUAUUAUUCUGCGGCAUCUGCCAAGCUCACUACACAUACAACAACCUGUCGUCGGACUCGCGCAACCGCACCAAGCAGCUGUUCGAACUGCUCAACUUCCUGGCGGAGAACUUCAUCUUCACCUACAUCGGCGUCUCCAUGUUCACCUUCCCGAAGCACCACUUCGACCCGUGGUUCAUUAUCGCGGGAUUUAUAACAUCGACUCUGGGCCGCGCCGUGAACAUUUACCCUUUGUCCUUCUUGCUGAAUCUGGGCAGAAAGCCGCCCAUACCCAUGAACUUUCAACACAUGCUGUUCUUCUCAGGUCUCCGCGGCGCGAUGUCAUUCGCCCUCGCGAUCCGCAACACGGUGUCGGAGGCUCGACAAGCCAUGCUGACGACUACGUCUCUCAUCGUCAUCGCUACCGUAGUACUGCAGGGCGGCGCCGCCACGCACGCGCUCGCCUACCUCAGGAUACCUACUGGAGAAGGCCAGAAUGACGAAAACGAAGCGCUGCCGUACCGCGACGUUAGAACUCUGUACCAGGCCACGGAAACCGGAGGCUCGAGAGGCCGCAUGGUAGUUAAGUGGGGCAAUGGAGACAAAGGAGUGGUUAUGCCUUGGCAACUUAACUAUUACGAAGAGACGUCUCGCGCCGACGGUGGCAGCGAAAAGGCGCGUCUAGCGAAGCUGUGGGGCGCGGUGGACUCACGACUGCUCAAACCGCUCCUGACCCACGCUCGCCCGCCGCUGACUGAGACAUUACCGACGUUCAUGAGCCCUGUGGCGCGUUGGCUCACCACCACACACCAGUACACGCAGGGGGUAAGUAUUAUACAUAUCUGUCGAUUAGUGGGACGCGGCGGACCAAUGGCUACUCAAACCGCUCCUGACCCAGGCUCGCCCGCCGCUGACUGAGACAUUACCGACGUUCAUGAGCCCUGUGGCGCGUUGGCUCACCACCACACACCAGUACACGCAGGGGUGUCUGUACAAUUACAAAUUUAUUGUACCCGAAGAGGAUUCUGGUUUGGCUCGAAACCAGGACAGUUCCUUGCGUCGGGCUGACUCCGACUCCGACCUGUGUAUUGAUGAACCGCAACCUGUACCCACCAGUAUUGAUCCCCAGCUAUCAAUUAAUGUUCGGAUCGGAUUUGGGCAUGUCUAAGCUUUGUUGCGUUCGUUAGUGACCUUCGGCUGUGAUAUAAAAUGGUCUAGAUUAAAUAGAAUUUAAGUUAAUAGGAAAAAAAUGUUUAAUUAUUGCACGCAGCAAAUGUGGCCCGGACUCGUCGACACUCGGAUCUCGGUAGAAGGUAUCACUGGGAGCAACAUCUGAGCAGGUUGAUUAUGUACAAGAAUGUAAAUGAGUGCCACAAGUGUAAUUAAUGUGAUAUCACUUUCAAGUUAAGAUAAAUUUUACUAUUCGAAAAAUUUUGCAUGUAUAAACCAAAAUAUGUAUCAAACUGCUUAAGUUUGCUAAGUGUAAAUUGUAGUUUUCUAUUCUAAAUUUAUACAAUUUCGAUAAGCAUAACAGAACUGAAGCCAUGUAUUGAAAAAUGAGUAUCAAACGAUUGCUAGAAAUCAAUGCAAAAAUGAACCUCUCUGCUAUGUUUGAUUAUCGACCUUGCUUUCGCUAGCCACCUGCUGUGCCGUUUCCGUUAGAUACGUAGAAUUUUCUUGCAGGGUGCAAUUUUAUAGUUAGUUAAAAUUUUAAUUACCUAUAUAUCGCCAGUAUCUCGUAAUGUUAGUCGUUCCUUCUGGCACUAUUUCCUAGUUUAUUAGCAUGUAUUUAUUGUCCAGUGACUGAUGUGAUUCUUUGGUCCAUAAAACUGGGCGUUAUGGAAUAAACCAUACAAUAAUUUGUCCGGAUCACACAAGCUAUCAGAGGUCCCAGGUAAUACCAGGAGUUGGGUGUUCUUACUUCAUGUAGUUACACGGGCAGAUCAGCUGUAAGCCCUUCACGAGUAUUGUACACAAAAGAGUAGUGACCGUGCUAUAGAAGAAUAGAUUUAUCAACUCAUGUAUGACUAAUAUUUUAAAUUUACUGCAAAGUUUUUUUUUUUGUACACCUCUAUAUAACGAUAAAAUCUUGUCUGAUCCGGAUAUUUGGUUUGAGUGACUUGUUUCCUUGACCUUAAGACAAAACAGAUCUAAUGAAUACAGGUUUAUUUUUAGACUAAGAUGUGUGUAGGUACUACGUAUUUAUGAUCCUUAAAAUAAAUACUUUAUUUUUGUUAUUGGUUUAAGGACAUAGUUUUUGACCAUUAAUGUAACUAUUUCCUGUAUUUUUCGAUUCUCCUAGCGAUUCACGUAACUAUGAUGUAAAUAAUUUAUACUUUAUAAACUUCUCGUUAAGGUUUGAAAAACCAUUUUUAAAUAUAUAAUUUAUUCUUUAUAUACACUUUAAAUACUUAUUGUGUUUUGCUUCCCAAUGGUUGCUUGCUAGUGUGCAUUUCGGUUAUUAGGUAUUAAAAAAUACUUUCUCGUAAUUAAGGCAUUUAAAGCUGUCUGUAAAUUAUGAAUGUCAUAUUAUUAUGCAAAUGCUACUUUACCCAGUUGCACAAACAAUCGUAUAAACCAGGGGUUUCCAAACUUUUAUACCUGAGGGCCAUAUUGCGCCUCGGAAUAUUCGCGCAGGCCAGUCGGCGCGAAGCGAGGGGGGAGAUUGUAUCUGGUUGCUGCUGUUAGGGCUGAACACCUGGAGCCUAGCUCCCGCGGGCCACAUUGGACCGCUGUCGGCGGGCCGGAUUGGAACGCUUCGCGGUCCGGGGUUUGGAGAGCCCUGGUAUAAUCAACUCUCUUCAUUUUGUGUCACAUAUUGACAGCAAGUGCAGUUUUUGCAACUUGGUAAAUUGGCAAAUUAUUAUUAUUUAUUAUGUUCCCCGGUGCCGGUUAUCCAGUGUUACACCCACCAAAUGAGGUCGAACAUGCAAAGCUCAACACGAAUUGUGCUGUUAUUGAAUAGGACCUAUCUAACAGCUUCCUUGGGUUCAAAUGUAAGGAUACAAAUUUAAAAACAAAUUUCUUGUGUAUGGAUUUAAGAAGGUAGUAUAUGCACAUACCACGCGCUCUUUGUAAUGAGCUAUUGUCAGUUUUUGACCCCAUUGUUUCUUUGUCAUAUUAAGUUAUGUGAAAUUAACCCUAUCACUGUCACAUAUUUGUGACAGUAUAAAAUGAACCUUAAUGCAUUAUAUGUCAGCUAAAGGGUAUAAAGGUAUUUCACUCCUUUAACAUAUUUAUAGGUGUAAUAAAAUGUGACUUGA